RNAcentral lists this ribosomal RNA (492 nucleotides) under uncultured bacterium. Its description in RNAcentral is "partial 16S ribosomal RNA". It matches the Rfam family "Bacterial small subunit ribosomal RNA", at positions 29 to 507 of the family's 1533-position model. The record is from RNAcentral.
AUUGAACGCUGGCGGCAUGCUUUACACAUGCAAGUCGAACGGUAACAGGCCUUCGGGUGCUGACGAGUGGCGAACGGGUGAGUAAUGCAUCGGAACGUACCCAGAGGUGGGGGAUAACGCAGCGAAAGCUGUGCUAAUACUGCAUGUGAUCUGAGGAUGAAAGCGGGGGACCGAGCAGCAAUGUUUGGCCUCGCGCCUUUGGAGCGGCCGAUGUCGGAUUAGCUAGUUGGUGGGGUAAAGGCCUACCAAGGCGACGAUCCGUAGCUGGUCUGAGAGGACGACCAGCCACACUGGGACUGAGACACGGCCCAGACCCCUACGGGAGGCAGCAGUGGGGAAUUUUGGACAAUGGGCGCAAGCCUGAUCCAGCAAUGCCGCGUGCGGGAAGAAGGCCUUCGGGUUGUAAACCGCUUUUGGCAGGAACGAAACGGUGUCCGCUAAUACCGGGCGCUAAUGACGGUACCUGCAGAAUAAGCACCGGCUAACUACGUG